This 81-nucleotide transfer RNA is filed under the name Dentipellis sp. KUC8613. It matches the Rfam family "tRNA". From Rfam's summary of the family: Transfer RNA (tRNA) molecules are approximately 80 nucleotides in length. The record is from Rfam by way of RNAcentral. Lineage: Eukaryota; Fungi; Basidiomycota; Agaricomycetes; Russulales; Hericiaceae.
GACCUCUUAGCUCAGUGGUAGAGCGUGAGAUUCCAGUUUGGGACCUCCUCAAGGUCGUCCGUUCAAUCCGGGCAGGGGUCA